CUAGAAAAUCGCUCAUAAAUUGUCAAAUUCAUCUCAAAACAACUCUUCAGAAACUCCAGUUUGAAGUCUUUGUAGAUUAAGAGAUGUUUCAUCAUAAUUUGGGUUUGCUGAUUUAUCGAGGUCCUUAGUCAAUCAGUGUAUUUUGGUGAUUUUUGCUCAACAAGGUCCUCUCCUCUUCCUUUUUGAUUUUUAUAUGUGAUAAUAAUGCUUGUGAAUAUCACAGUUAUGUGGGUCCUAGAUUUUGAAUUUUAGUAUAGUUUGUUAUGAGUCUUAACAUAAUUAGGGUCAAUGAAUGAAAUAUGUACUUUAGGACAUGUUAAAAUUAUUGCUACUACCUGGAUUUUCAUUACUAUAAUAUAUGUGGCUGUCUACUCUCACUCAUCUCUGUUUUGAACUUGGAUAAGUGGGCGUUUUCUCAAGCAUUUUUGUCUUGAGCCUCUGAAGUGGAUUUAGAUGGUUAUGCCUACUAACUUUUUGAAUCUUUUUCUCAUAUUUGCUUUCUUUCAGAUGGUAGUUUGUCAACCUUCUACACUUGCAAAAGGAUCUAUAAUCGACAAUGCGAGUAUCGAGGGAAGGAGCUGAACAUUUAUAGAAUGCCCAAGAGAUUUUAGUCUACAAUUAAGUGAUGGUUAUGUGCUGGUGAUUGUUUCAUUACUAACAAAGCAUGACAAAAAACUAGGGUUAUUAUGUUUUGAGCCCAAUCCCUUUCUUUUGAAGUUUGAAAUAUGUUUAUUGUCAUGGGAAUUUUGUAUUUUAAGUCUGUUAUUAUGGGAAAUAUACCGGUAAAUCUAUAUUACUAUUGGAAAAUUGAAGAAUAAUGUACUAGGAUUAUAAGAGCUAGAUGAGAAUGUAAUAACCUAUUAAUUAAGUGAGUCUA
Molecule: long non-coding RNA, 877 nt
Organism: Lycium ferocissimum
Lineage: Eukaryota; Viridiplantae; Streptophyta; Magnoliopsida; Solanales; Solanaceae
Exons: 2
Source: RefSeq, a predicted model, not a curated record